GAUGAACGCUGGCGGCGUGCCUAAUACAUGCAAGUCGAGCGAACGGACGAGAAGCUUGCUUUUCUGAUGUUAGCGGCGGACGGGUGAGUAACACGUGGAUAACCUACCUAUAAGACUGGGAUAACUUCGGGAAACCGGAGCUAAUACCGGAUAAUAUUUUGAACCGCAUGGUUCAAAAGUGAAAGACGGUCUUGCUGUCACUUAUAGAUGGAUCCGCGCUGCAUUAGCUAGUUGGUAAGGUAACGGCUUACCAAGGCAACGAUGCAUAGCCGACCUGAGAGGGUGAUCGGCCACACUGGAACUGAGACACGGUCCAGACUCCUACGGGAGGCAGCAGUAGGGAAUCUUCCGCAAUGGGCGAAAGCCUGACGGAGCAACGCCGCGUGAGUGAUGAAGGUCUUCGGAUCGUAAAACUCUGUUAUUAGGGAAGAACAUAUGUGUAAGUAACUGUGCACAUCUUGACGGUACCUAAUCAGAAAGCCACGGCUAACUACGUGUCAGCAGCCGCGGUAAUACGUAGGUGGCAAGCGUUAUCCGGAAUUAUUGGGCGUAAAGCGCGCGUAGGCGGUUUUUUAAGUCUGAUGUGAAAGCCCACGGCUCAACCGUGGAGGGUCAUUGGAAACUGGAAAACUUGAGUGCAGAAGAGGAAAGUGGAAUUCCAUGUGUAGCGGUGAAAUGCGCAGAGAUGUGGAGGAACACCAGUGGCGAAGGCGACUUUCUGGUCUGUAACUGACGCUGAUGUGCGAAAGCGUGGGGAUCAAACAGGAUUAGAUACCCUGGUAGUCCACGCCGUAAACGAUGAGUGCUAAGUGUUAGGGGGUUUCCGCCCCUUAGUGCUGCAGCUAACGCAUUAAGCACUCCGCCUGGGGAGUACGACCGCAAGGUUGAAACUCAAAGGAAUUGACGGGGGCCCGCACAAGCGGUGGAGCAUGUGGUUUAAUUCGAAGCAACGCGAAGAACCUUACCAAAUCUUGACAUCCUUUGACAACUCUAGAGAUAGAGCCUUCCCCUUCGGGGGACAAAGUGACAGGUGGUGCAUGGUUGUCGUCAGCUCGUGUCGUGAGAUGUUGGGUUAAGUCCCGCAACGAGCGCAACCCUUAAGCUUAGUUGCCAUCAUUAAGUUGGGCACUCUAAGUUGACUGCCGGUGACAAACCGGAGGAAGGUGGGGAUGACGUCAAAUCAUCAUGCCCCUUAUGAUUUGGGCUACACACGUGCUACAAUGGACAAUACAAAGGGCAGCGAAACCGCGAGGUCAAGCAAAUCCCAUAAAGUUGUUCUCAGUUCGGAUUGUAGUCUGCAACUCGACUACAUGAAGCUGGAAUCGCUAGUAAUCGUAGAUCAGCAUGCUACGGUGAAUACGUUCCCGGGUCU
RNAcentral lists this ribosomal RNA (1372 nucleotides) under uncultured bacterium. Its description in RNAcentral is "bacterial SSU rRNA". It matches the Rfam family "Bacterial small subunit ribosomal RNA", at positions 28 to 1381 of the family's 1533-position model. The record is from RNAcentral.